Neofelis nebulosa (Clouded leopard) is the source of this 1044-nucleotide long non-coding RNA. RefSeq lists it as uncharacterized. The record is from RefSeq and is a predicted model, not a curated record. Lineage: Eukaryota; Metazoa; Chordata; Mammalia; Carnivora; Felidae. The transcript is spliced from 2 exons.
UUUCCGAAGGGCUACUGAGAAACACGCUUCUCGGUCAGGAUGGAAUUUCCAGCCCUGUAAAUCUGAGGGCCAGACCAUGACCUGGUCAAAUACGAUCACCUUCUGUCUAGACUGGCAAAAGUAUUGAAGCAGCAUUCAAAUUCCGCCCCCUUGGCGGAACUUUGCCUUCGGAGAUGGUGGAGCGUCCCAGACCUUUGACACACUGCUGGAGUCAUCUUUCGAGGCUCAAGGAGAGAGCUUAACGCUAUUUCUGAAAUUUCUAACAAGACGAUGAAAUGGACCAUCUCUGUCACCGUUCUCCCAUCAUCCCUCUUUUGAGACAGUGACAGUUCUGAAUCUGAAGAUACCUUCUUCAGUCCCUGUGGGACACACCGAGAGAUUCCUCUGGAAGCAGACUCCCCAACUCGAAAAGCAGCCUGCAGAUGAGCAGGCGAAGCCCCUCAGACGCAGAACAGGAGCCUGAUGACCACCUGGCUUGAGGCUUUGCCUAUCGGGAUGGUGCUGACGGAGAAGUGUGGACAGCACUGGAAGCUGGGAUUCCUCCAGACCGGGUGACUAGGGCAUUGUCUAUAAAGGUGCACGCCGUUCACAGGACAAGAACGAAAAUACUGAAAUGUGGCGGUAUUUCUAACAGAAUGAAAGCCAAGAAACACUGAAAACACAGUCUUGAGAUUUCCGGUUUAAUUUCCAGGACAAAGAGAUUCAUUGUCGGUUUAUAUCAUCUCUGCUACAUGGAUACCUGGAUCAACAAAAGCUGGUGACCUCUGUGGGGUCACCCAGUGCCCCAUUUUGACUCUGAUUUUGUACUACUCUUCACAGUUGUGAAGUGCUGGGAUGAGGCCAGCCUUUCUUUACCACACUGGCUCCUAAUCAUUCCCAAAGGAAGAACUGGAAAAUAUUUGGGAUUUUUCUUCUAUACUUUCACAUUAGUUUAUUCUCAGAGCACUUAUCAUUUGUGUUUUGAGCCACAUGUUGAGUAAAGAUGGAAGAAGCAUUUAACCACUUUUGUUCCCUAAAGAGCAAUAUCAUAUUUUUGUUAGUAUA